RNAcentral lists this transfer RNA (88 nucleotides) under Hadesarchaea archaeon. RNAcentral's name for it is "tRNA-Leu". It matches the Rfam family "tRNA". From Rfam's summary of the family: Transfer RNA (tRNA) molecules are approximately 80 nucleotides in length. Their secondary structure includes four short double-helical elements and three loops (D, anti-codon, and T loops). Further hydrogen bonds mediate the characteristic L-shaped molecular structure. tRNAs have two regions of fundamental functional importance: the anti-codon, which is responsible for specific mRNA codon recognition, and the 3' end, to which the tRNAs corresponding amino acid is attached (by aminoacyl-tRNA synthetases). tRNAs cope with the degeneracy of the genetic code in two manners: having more than one tRNA (with a specific anti-codon) for a particular amino acid; and 'wobble' base-pairing, i.e. permitting non-standard base-pairing at the 3rd anti-codon position. Lineage: Archaea; Methanobacteriati; Hadarchaeota (SeqCode); Hadarchaeia (SeqCode). The record is from RNAcentral.
GCGGGGGNGGCCGAGCCAGGUCAAAGGCGCCAGACUCAAGAUCUGGUCCCUCAGGGGUUCGGGGGUUCAAAUCCCCUCCCCCGCACCA